CUAACUGAAUCAUAGAAUUUAUUAAAAUUCAUGAUGUCGUAAGGGAAAAUAAUGAUAUUACCUUACUAUUAGUGUCGUCCAAAUCUGGUGCCAGAAGACUCGGUAAGACCAGAGACGCAAACGUUAAUCAUCAUAAACAGGCGUAAAGGGUUUGUAGGCAGCUCCCACCAUACUAUGAUUCCAAAAUAAAGUAGUGUAAUUGAGAGCUAGAAUCAAACAGAGGUUAUAGUGUAUAACGCCUAGAGGAGGGCUGAUAUCCAUAGAUCCUAGGCAGAAUACUAAGGGCGAAGGCCACUCUCCACUAAUGAUUGACGCUGAGAAACGAAGGUUAGGGUAGGAAAUAGGAUUAGAUACCCCGGUACUCCUUUCUGUAAACGAUGAAUGGUAGUCAUUAGUUUUAUAACUAGAGACGAAGUUAACACAAUAACCAUUCCGCCUUGUGAGUACUACUGCAAAGUAGAAAACAAAAAAAUUAGUCGGUCUCGAAGCAAACGGAGUGAAGCAUGUUAUUUAAU
RNAcentral lists this ribosomal RNA (515 nucleotides) under Hexagonia sp. XJ-2021a. Its description in RNAcentral is "SSU rRNA". It matches the Rfam family "Bacterial small subunit ribosomal RNA", at positions 408 to 950 of the family's 1533-position model. Lineage: Eukaryota; Fungi; Basidiomycota; Agaricomycetes; Polyporales; Polyporaceae. The record is from RNAcentral.